AUUAAUUCUAAUAUAAUAUAGUAUAUUUGACUUCCAAUCAAAAAGUUUGUUUUUAAACAAGAUUAAUA
RNAcentral lists this transfer RNA (68 nucleotides) under Archiblatta hoeveni. Its description in RNAcentral is "tRNA-Gly". Lineage: Eukaryota; Metazoa; Arthropoda; Insecta; Blattodea; Blattidae. The record is from RNAcentral.